ACUAUUUAUUCAGCCAAGGAUGACUUGCCUAGAUCUUGUUACCAGUAUCGGCUAGUUAUGCUGAUAUCGAUUUCAGUCACUAGGUGAGUCGUCCUUGGCUAAA
RNAcentral lists this microRNA precursor (103 nucleotides) under Pinus densata. Lineage: Eukaryota; Viridiplantae; Streptophyta; Pinopsida; Pinales; Pinaceae. The record is from RNAcentral.